GCUGACACGCUGUCCUCUGGCGACCCGUCGCUGGAGAGGUCGGGCCUCUGGAUGCGUGGGGGGUCUCUGGUCUACCGGUGACCCGGCUAGCCGGCCCUGCUCUGGGUUGAGCCGCCGGCUGGGGCCCGUGUGCCUUGCCUCCCGUGCAUCCGUCUGAGUGUCCCGGCUCCCUGGUGCCGCCCUGGGCCCGGGUCUCUUCCGACUCACCUGGGUGUGGCGGGGAAAGGCCGGUGCGGGCGGGCGGGCUCCCGUCUGCCUGCGUGUGCGCUCCCUGCUGCGGGCACCUGGGGCGGUCGCGACGACCCCGUUCCGUUGGCUCCGUGCCGUGCGUGUCAGGCGUCCUCCUCUCCUCUGGGGUUGUCCGCCGUCCCUUCCCCGGAGCGGGGCUGGCCGGCCUCGGGCCCGUGGGCUCCGUGGCUUUGCUGAGGUUGACUCCUUCGCCCCGCUCUGGGUCUCUUCCGAUCGAUGUGGUGACGUCACGCUCUCCCGGGCCGCGACCGAUCCGCGGUGGGCGAGGGACGGACAUUCUCGGUGAAUGGGACCGCUCUUCUCGUCCCGCCCGCGGGGGCCCCCUUGCCUCUCCUGCACCCUGCCUGUGGGGUCUGGAUCGGGAGGUGUAGGGGGUACGGAAUCCGGCCCGACCUCGCCGUGCUCCCCCGUUCUCCGCCUGGCGGGGGCCGGUGGGGUCCUCUGACGCGGCAGGCAUCCCUCGCUCUCGCCUCCUGUGGUUGUUGCCUUGUCGGGGGCGGCCCCUCUCCGCGGCGGUGGGGGGCUCGUCCCGAUGGCCCGUCGUGCUGCCCUCGCCGGGGUGGUGCGAGCGUUGGCUCGGCUUGGGCCUUUUGCGGUGCUCCUGGAGCGCUCCGGGUUGUCCCUCAGGUGCCCGAGGCCGAGCGGUGGUGUCGUUCCCGCCCCCGGGGCCCCCUCCUCCGGUUGCCGCCAUGGGGUCUGCGUGUGGGUCCCGAGGAGAAGCGCUCAGCUCGUCGGAGGGUUGUCGUCGAGGCGAUCGAUCGAGGUUUUGUGCCCCUCGACGCGGGGUUGAGGGGGUGCCUCGGGUUCCGCUCCUCUCGCCGUAGACCUCAUCCCUCCCUUCCCUGGGUGUCCCUGAGCGCCUCCGUGGGCGGCCCGGCGAGGGGCGACCGGUGGGUGGGGGAGUGUGACCCGCCCUCGGUGAGAAAGCCUUCUCUAGCGAUCCCAGAGGUGUGCUUUGGGGGUACCGGACUCCCCCGGCCCGCCGCCUCUCUCUGCGUUGUGGUAGCGCUUCCGCGUGGCGAUUGGAUUCGCUCGUGUGUAGGCAGAGUUCCCUCUUCCUCCUCGGUGGCGGGGAGAAGUGGGGUCCGCCGGUCUCCGCGGUGGGGACCGAGCGCCGCUCGUCGCCUACUGUGGCCCGCGCCUCCCCCCUCUGAGUCGGGGGAGGGUCCCGCCGGGCCGGGCCCUGUGUCCUCGCCGUUGGGGAGGUCGUCGCUUGAAGGCUGGGUGCGUGUGGCGUCCCGUCUGGCGCGUGACCCCCUUCCGCUGCGAGCCGGCUCUCCGCCCGCUCCCGUGCCGUGCCGAGCCCUUGCCGGUGCCGGCGACCGCGCUGUGUGCGGGGCGACGGGUCGGGCCGCCUGGGCCCGGGAAAGCGUCCCCACGGUGGGGCGUGCCGGUCUCCCGGAGCGGGACCGGGUCGCGGAUGGACGAGAUCCUGGGUGUGUCGCCCUGGCGUCGGGCUUGUCGCUGUGGUCGCUCCGGGGCCCCCGGCGGUGGGGUCCGGGUCCCGUGAGGGGUCUCCGCGGUGGUGCCGAGGGCCGGCCGGUGUCCCGGGUGGGAGGGCUGCGGGACCGCCCUCGUGUCUGUGGCGGUGGGAUCCCGUGGUCGUGUCUUCCCCGGUGGCCCGGCUGUGCCCGAGGUUCCCGCCCGGGUCCUCGGCGGGCUCCCGUGCCCCUGCCCUCGUGGGCCCCGGCCCUGCGUGUGCGCCCGCUCCCCGCCGCUGCCUGCCGAUCCUUUCUCUCUGAGCGGCUCUCCGGCUGCGCCGGGGCGGCCCCGUCUGGGACCCGAGCCGGCUCCGCCUUGAGGGGCGUCGCCCCCGGCCACCAUCGGCCGGUGUCCGCGUCCCCCCGGCGUGUGCCUCGGCUUCGCGCACCGGCGGCGGUCGGCCCCGCGCGGGCCCGGUGGGCGUCGGAGAGGUCGGGUCGGCCCGCCGCGUGUGUAGGGAAGACGGUUAUGGGGCGCUGGCUGCGACUGCGGUGGCGGUGUUGGGGAGCCGCGGGCCCCCGAGAGGCGUGCGUGGGUCGCCGAAGGCCAGGCGGCCGCUCCGUGUGCCGCGCGGGACCGCCCCUGUGUGCCCAAACGGGCCGCUGGCGGUGAGACCCCGUUGUGUGUCCACGGCUGCUGCGGUCGUCUGUGCCCGAGGCUUCUCCCCGGAUCCUCGCGGUGGCCCGCCGCCCACCCCCUCCCCGCUCGCCGCCUUCCCCGCGCCUUCCACGGUCGCCUCGGGCUUGCCCGGGGUCUCGUCUCCUCCCGAACCCGCUCUCCCGCUCCGCGUCCGCGCGCCCCGGGUGCGCGCCUCGCUUCCCGGGCCCGCCGGGGCCCCUCCCCGAGGCGUCUUGGGUGUCGACGUCCGGGGGCGGCGGCGUGUCCUUCCCCCGCGUUGCGGGUCCCGUUCGGCGCGUGCGUGCGCCCGAGCGCGCCCCGGUGGUCUCUCCCGGCCAGCCGUCGUGUGUAAGUAAGGUCGACCUCCGGCCUGCCGGCCGCCCGCCCCCCGGUUCGAGGGGGGGGCCCGGGCCGGGACCUCCGGUCCCGGUCCCGGUCCCUCGUUCCGGGUCGGUGGGUCGGCCGGACGGCUUCCGUCGCCUUCUGGCCGUCGUUGUGGGUCGGGGCGGUGCCGGUCACCGGCCCCCCUCCCCUCCUGCGCCUGCGCCCGCCGGCGUGGCCCGGGGUCUGGCCUCGGCCGGCACCCGGACCUCGACCGGGCGGGCGCGCGGGCGCUGCGGCCGCACGGCGUGACUGUCCCCCGGGUCGGGCACCCCGGGCCGCCUCCCGCUCGCCGCCCGAACGCCGGGGCCCCGCCCCGCGGGGUGUGGGUAUCGCCGCGCCCCCUCGCCGCCCCCCACUGCGUCUUCCGCGCGCGUGGCCGCCGACCCCCUCCUGGCUGCCCGGCACAAAACGGGUCGGGCGUUCUGCCCUCCACUCGCACGCGGUUGUGGAGAGAGGCGGGGGUGGGGUGUGGGGUUGGUGGUGGUGGUGGUGGUGGUGGAGGUGGAGGUGAUGGGGCGCGUGCGGUGUGCGCGUGGGACUCGUUCCCCGCGCUCCCGCGCCCGCCUCUCUCCCUCCGCCCUUCCUCCGCCCCGCCCCGCCCCGCCCCGCCCCACCCCACCCCGCCUGGUCCCGCGCCUGCCGGCUACGGGCGGGGACGAUGGCGUUCGCGCCGCCCGCACCCUCCUCCGUCCGCGGUCCGUCCCUCCCUCCCUCUCGUGCCCCCGGACGCCGGGUCCGCCGCCCUCGCGGCCUACCUCGCC
RNAcentral lists this unclassified non-coding RNA (3494 nucleotides) under Callithrix jacchus (white-tufted-ear marmoset). Its description in RNAcentral is "external transcribed spacer". The stretch from base 1785 to 1879 matches the Rfam family "mir-663 microRNA precursor family". Lineage: Eukaryota; Metazoa; Chordata; Mammalia; Primates; Cebidae. The record is from RNAcentral.